GGGUUCUGGGGGAGCCAUUGGUCCCUGUCAGGCCAGCCAAGGUUCAGCCCUGAGCUCCCCCAGACCAGGUACAUGCUGGCCAGGCCUGUGGAGGUGAAACCAGCAAAAGCAGACCUAGGGAGCCCAAGAGGAUACCCCAGGCCACUCAAGACCAUGACACCUGCCAAGCCAACUUGCAGGGUGGAAGUGAGCACUCACCCUCAAGGGCCAUGGCUCACCACCCUCAAGAAACGUGCAACUAGGAGCCCACACUGGAUGAGACGGUCCAGCACCUCCUGACAGUAGCAGUAGGAAGACUGGCAGGGCUGGGGAGAAAGGCAUCCACGUGGCCUCAGGAGAGCCAGGCGCUGGGCAGGGGCCUGGCCAGAGGCGAGGCCAGACCAGAUCUACUGGACACCGUAGGGUCAGUGCUAAGGCAAGCAUGGGCCCCUCCUAUACCCAAGAAGGGGAGGCCUAGGGCUGAGCUGGGUUGGCAGGAGAGGCCUGACCUGCAGCAGCAGCAGGUCCUGCGGCAGCAAGUGCAACAGGAGCAGGAUCUGGCGGUACAGCUCCUUCUGGCUCAGCAGCUCGAUGCCUUGCAGCUCACAGGGCCCCUCAGGCGGCACCCUGCCCGCCAGCAGCCCCCGCACAGCACAGGCUGGGGGAGGAGGGGGCCAGUGGUCAGGAAGAGAAGCCACUCCCCUCACCCCUACACACAUCCCACCCACCCCAAGCCCUGGGGACUCACCACCCACAGCCUCGCUCAGGAAGGCGGGCAGCAGCCCAGCGCUCAGGCGGGCCAGGUGUAUGAGGCCUGGGCCGGGCCGAGGAACCACCAGCAAGUCCCCAUGAUGGACGCGCAGCAGGGCCACGUGCGCCCGCAGCAGGCUCAGCGUGUGCUGCACCAGGCACCGCAGCUGCCCUGAGAAGCCCACGUCAAAGCCACGCAGCAGCGUCUCCUCUGUCAGCCAGGAGAACUCCCCCAGGAGCUGUGACAGGAGCACGCCCUGGGUGGGCAGUGAGGGGCUGAGCGGGAGGGCCGCACCUCCUCCCCAGCCCCCACCGCACCGUGCCCUACCUUCCGGUGCUUGAAUAGCAGCAGCGUCGCCGUGAUGGCCGUGCUCAUCACCGCCGAGCUCGCCACGCAGGCUGGGGCCGGGGGUGGGGGAUGCUGGUCAGGGGCCAAGGCCCAGCAGCCUGGGCCCUUCAUCACCAAGCAGGUCUUUCCAGCCAAGGGCAUACCUCCCCAGCAGCCCCUCAGACACCCCCCCCAACUCCACCCCUGGGAAAGGGAGAACAGGCUUGGUCCUUGGGCCCCACCUUCCCCAGUGGAGAACUGGCAUUUAUCAAGUAUAUGUUGAGCCAAGCUGGGAGCUCAGAGUCCUUCCCUGCCAAUUGUAGGCCUACUAGCCACCAACCCCACAGCCUCUGCCAUGGAAGGGACACUUAAGAUGGUAGUAAAGCUGUUAAGAGCC
Vicugna pacos (alpaca) is the source of this 1454-nucleotide non-coding RNA. The record is from RefSeq and is a predicted model, not a curated record. Lineage: Eukaryota; Metazoa; Chordata; Mammalia; Artiodactyla; Camelidae.